GAAUUGUUCCAUCUUGGUUCCAUCCAAAUUUGUGAACUUGCCUUGUGAAACCUCACUUUCACCUCUGAGGGUUUCUCGCAAAAAGGCGUGUAGGUGUUUCAGCAUGCCUUG
Molecule: non-coding RNA, 111 nt
Organism: Chelonoidis abingdonii (Abingdon island giant tortoise)
Lineage: Eukaryota; Metazoa; Chordata; Testudines; Testudinidae
Source: RefSeq, a predicted model, not a curated record